Molecule: ribosomal RNA, 519 nt
Filed under: uncultured bacterium
Lineage: Bacteria
Description: partial 16S ribosomal RNA
Rfam family: Bacterial small subunit ribosomal RNA
Source: RNAcentral
GACGAACGCUGGCGGCGUGCUUAACACAUGCAAGUCGAACGGACUAUUUCAUUUCGGUGGAGUAGUUAGUGGCGAACGGGUGAGUAACGCGUAGACAGCCUACCUCUUAGAUGGGGACAACAUCGCGAAAGCGGUGCUAAUACCGAAUGAAGUGACUUUCCUGCAUGGGAGAGAUACUAAAGGUGGCCUCUAUUUAUAAGCUACCACUGAGAGAUGGGUCUGCGUCUGAUUAGCUAGUUGGCGGGGUAACGGCCCACCAAGGCGACGAUCAGUAGCUGGUCUGAGAGGAUGAACGGCCACAUUGGGACUGAGACACGGCCCAAACUCCUACGGGAGGCAGCAGUGGGGAAUUUUGGACAAUGGGCGAAAGCCUGAUCCAGCAAUGCCGCGUGCAGGAAGAAGGCCUUCGGGUUGUAAACUGCUUUUGUACGGAGCGAAAAGGCUCUCUCUAAUACAGGGGGCUCAUGACGGUACCGUAAGAAUAAGCACCGGCUAACUACGUGCCAGCCGCCGCCGUAA